Small nuclear RNA from Suncus etruscus (white-toothed pygmy shrew), 104 nucleotides. NCBI's taxonomy places the organism in Eukaryota, Metazoa, Chordata, Mammalia, Eulipotyphla, Soricidae. The record is from RefSeq and is a predicted model, not a curated record.
GUGCUCGCUUUGGCAGCACAUAUAUUAAAAUUGGAACGACACAGAGAUUAGUGUGGCCCCUGCGCAAGGAUGACAUGCAAACUUAACAAUCUGAACUUAAAAUC